Molecule: small RNA, 33 nt
Filed under: Arabidopsis thaliana (thale cress)
Lineage: Eukaryota; Viridiplantae; Streptophyta; Magnoliopsida; Brassicales; Brassicaceae
Description: ATSL255940
Source: RNAcentral
ACAAAAAGAAGGAAAAAAAAAAAACUGACAAGU